UUAUUUGUUUGUCCUGUGAUUAUUCUGUGC
Molecule: non-coding RNA, 30 nt
Filed under: Rattus norvegicus (Norway rat)
Lineage: Eukaryota; Metazoa; Chordata; Mammalia; Rodentia; Muridae
Source: RNAcentral